AUUGUAUUUAGCGUUAUAAAAUAAAAAAUAGAGCCUCAUUCGCGAACGGAAACUAGUUAUAUUUUACAAUAUGUCCUCUUAUUGGCCAGGCCUAGAGAGCGUUAAUAGGUAUAUCAGUCGUAUACGAUACGAUAUAUAAAUCACUACAACGAUAUUCUUAUGAUUCAUAAUAAAAAUCGUAGGCUGAAAAAGGGUUUGGUUAACGGAAUUGGUUAUUUAGCAAACAGCUUAUUUGGCGUUCUCGAUGACAGGUUCUUUGAACAAUACGAGAAAGACAUUUAGAAAAAUAAAAUCAACGAAAGUCACUUACAAAUAUUGUUAAAAAACCAGACUGGUGUCAUAGAGGCACAGUCUUGUAUUUUACGUAGAAAUGAAUACAUAAUGAACAAACACUUUGGUGUUAUUCAGGAUUAUAUUAGAAAUAUGUUAUUAACUUUGAAUGGUGUUCAGUUACAUAAUAGAAAUGAAUUGUAUAUUUUAUCUUCUUUUAGCUGUUCAAAUAAUUAUAUAAAAUAUUAAGUGUUCAACAAAAUUUGAUUAAUACUGUAACCGAUAUUUGACAUUUAAUAUGUAUCUAUUUUAUUUUAAUCCGUGUCUUCUCUUAUUUCCUUUUUGGAGUGGGCAGUAUGUACAGAGUAUAUACAUACAUACUCUGUCCAUUCAAUUUGUUUCAAUAUAUAUAUUUUUAUGUUCUUUGUCUACUAAGCGUUUCAUAUACAUUGUGUAUUAACGUGUAUUAAUAUGAAUAAACCAGUGUAAAAACAGCA
Long non-coding RNA from Melitaea cinxia (Glanville fritillary), 767 nucleotides. RefSeq lists it as uncharacterized. NCBI's taxonomy places the organism in Eukaryota, Metazoa, Arthropoda, Insecta, Lepidoptera, Nymphalidae. The transcript has 2 exons. The record is from RefSeq and is a predicted model, not a curated record.